Molecule: ribosomal RNA, 751 nt
Filed under: uncultured Burkholderiales bacterium
Lineage: Bacteria; Pseudomonadati; Pseudomonadota; Betaproteobacteria; Burkholderiales
Description: bacterial SSU rRNA
Rfam family: Bacterial small subunit ribosomal RNA
Source: RNAcentral
UGCAAGUCGAACGGCAGCAUAGGUGCUUGCACCUGAUGGCGAGUGGCGAACGGGUGAGUAAUGCAUCGGAACGUGCCCAGUCGUGGGGGAUAACGCAGCGAAAGCUGUGCUAAUACCGCAUACGAUCUAUGGAUGAAAGCGGGGGACCUUCGGGCCUCGCGCGAUUGGAGCGGCCGAUGUUAGAUUAGGUAGUUGGUGGGGUAAAGGCUCACCAAGCCAACGAUCUAUAGCUGGUCUGAGAGGACGACCAGCCACACUGGAACUGAGACACGGUCCAGACUCCUACGGGAGGCAGCAGUGGGGAAUUUUGGACAAUGGGCGAAAGCCUGAUCCAGCAAUACCGCGUGUGCGAAGAAGGCCUUCGGGUUGUAAAGCACUUUUGUCAGGAAAGAAAUUGUUUGGGCUAAUACCCCGAGCCGUUGACGGUACCUGAAGAAUAAGCACCGGCUAACUACGUGCCAGCAGCCGCGGUAAUACGUAGGGUGCGAGCGUUAAUCGGAAUUACUGGGCGUAAAGCGUGCGCAGGCGGUUUGUUAAGACAGUUGUGAAAUCCCCGGGCUCAACCUGGGAACUGCAAUUGUGACUGGCAGGCUAGAGUUUGGCAGAGGGGGGGUGGAAUUCCUGGUGUAGCAGUGAAAUGCGUAGAUAUCAGGAGGAACACCGAUGGCGAAGGCAGCCCCCUGGGCCAUGACUGACGCUCAUGCACGAAAGCGUGGGGAGCAAACAGGAUUAGAUACCCUGGUAGAAGGGC